Molecule: ribosomal RNA, 401 nt
Filed under: uncultured bacterium
Lineage: Bacteria
Description: bacterial SSU rRNA
Rfam family: Bacterial small subunit ribosomal RNA
Source: RNAcentral
UGCCCCCCGGCCCGGGAUAGCCCCAGGGAAACCUGGAUUAAUACCGGAUGAGACGGGACCCGCGAAGGCGGACCCGGGAAAGGCGCUGCGGCGCCGCCGGGGGAUGAGUCUGCGUCCCAUUAGCUAGACGCGGGUAACGGCCCACCGUGGCGACGAUGGGUAGCCGGCCUGAGAGGGUGACGGCCACAUCGGAACUGAGACACGGUCCAGACUCCUACGGGAGGCAGCAGCUAAGAAUCUUCCGCAAUGGGCGAAAGCCUGACGGAGCCGACGCCGCGUGAACGAAGAAGGCCGUGAGGUUGUAAAGUUCUUUUCGGGAGGGGAACAACCGUGGCAGGGAAUGGCCGCGGGAUGACGUGAAUCCCGGAAUAAGCCCCGGCUAACUACGUGCCAGCAGCCGC